RNAcentral lists this ribosomal RNA (131 nucleotides) under uncultured Vibrio sp. Its description in RNAcentral is "partial 16S ribosomal RNA". It matches the Rfam family "Bacterial small subunit ribosomal RNA", at positions 372 to 497 of the family's 1533-position model. Lineage: Bacteria; Pseudomonadati; Pseudomonadota; Gammaproteobacteria; Vibrionales; Vibrionaceae. The record is from RNAcentral.
UGGGCGAAAGCCUGAUCCAGCCAUGCCGCGUGUGUGAAGAAGGUCUUCGGAUUGUAAAGCACUUUAAGUUGGGAGGAAGGGUUGUAGAUUAAUACUCUGCAAUUUUGACGUACCGACAGAAUAGCCCCGGC